Molecule: ribosomal RNA, 169 nt
Filed under: uncultured Clostridium sp.
Lineage: Bacteria; Bacillati; Bacillota; Clostridia; Eubacteriales; Clostridiaceae
Also listed under: 1 other name
Description: partial 16S ribosomal RNA
Rfam family: Bacterial small subunit ribosomal RNA
Source: RNAcentral
CCUACGGGAGGCAGCAGUGGGGAAUAUUGCACAAUGGGCGAAAGCCUGAUGCAGCAACGCCGCGUGAGCGAUGAAGGCCUUCGGGUCGUAAAGCUCUGUCCUCAAGGAAGAUAAUGACGGUACUUGAGGAGGAAGCCCCGGCUAACUACGUGCCAGCAGCCGCGGUAAU